Molecule: ribosomal RNA, 424 nt
Filed under: uncultured prokaryote
Description: bacterial SSU rRNA
Rfam family: Bacterial small subunit ribosomal RNA
Source: RNAcentral
UGGGGAAUCUUGGACAAUGGGGGAAACCCUGAUCCAGCCAUGCCGCGUGAGUGAUGAAGGCCUUAGGGUUGUAAAGCUCUUUCGCUGGGGAAGAUAAUGACGGUACCCAGUAAAGAAGCCCCGGCUAACUUCGUGCCAGCAGCCGCGGUAAUACGAAGGGGGCUAGCGUUGUUCGGAAUCACUGGGCGUAAAGCGCGCGUAGGCGGAUCGUUAAGUUAGGGGUGAAAUCCCGGGGCUCAACCUCGGAACUGCCUCUGAUACUGGCGAUCUCGAGUCCGGGAGAGGUGAGUGGAAUUCCGAGUGUAGAGGUGAAAUUCGUAGAUAUUCGGAGGAACACCAGUGGCGAAGGCGGCUCACUGGCCCGGUACUGACGCUGAGGUGCGAAAGCGUGGGGAGCAAACAGGAUUAGAUACCCCCGUAGUCC